CCUACGGGGGGCUGCAGUGGGGAAUAUUGCACAAUGGGGGAAACCCUGAUGCAGCGACGCCGCGUGAGUGAAGAAGUAAUUCGUUAUGUAAAGCUCUAUCAGCAGGGAAGAAAAUGACGGUACCUGAGUAAGAAGCCCCGGCUAACUACGUGCCAGCAGCCGCGGUAAUACGUAGGGGGCAAGUGUUAUCCGGAUUUACUGGGUGGAAAGGGAGCGUAGACGGCAGUGCAAGUCUGGAGUGAAAGGCGGGGGCUCAACCCCCGGACUGCUCUGGAAACUGUACGGCUGGAGUGCAGGAGAGGUAAGUGGAAUUCCUAGUGUAGCGGUGAAAUGCGUAGAUAUUAGGAGGAACACCAGUGGCGAAGGCGGCUUACUGGACUGUAACUGACGUUGAGGCUCGAAAGCGUGGGGAGCAAACAGGAUUAGAUACCCCUGUAGUC
This 440-nucleotide ribosomal RNA is filed under the name uncultured bacterium. Its description in RNAcentral is "partial 16S ribosomal RNA". It matches the Rfam family "Bacterial small subunit ribosomal RNA", at positions 338 to 795 of the family's 1533-position model. The record is from RNAcentral.